CAUGGAAUAUAGACAGGCUGAACUUCGAGUUACGGAAACAAAUUGGGAGAUUCACUGGCGAUUUAAGUGAGUUAUAAUUGUUGAGAACUCAGAACUCGGAAGCUUAUUGCCACAGCUAGUUACUGUCCAGAAACCAGAAUUCGAAUGAAUUUUUCUUUUGGGAACCAGAAUGCCCGCAGCUGAACCUUCUUGCCCUAAAAUCCAAAACGGAGUCGUAUCCUCGUCAUAUUUACGGAAAGUUCUGGGCUUCAGGCUUUCAGCCGGG
RNAcentral lists this long non-coding RNA (265 nucleotides) under Linum usitatissimum (flax). Its description in RNAcentral is "long non-coding RNA (LUSI_LNC001888)". The record is from RNAcentral. Lineage: Eukaryota; Viridiplantae; Streptophyta; Magnoliopsida; Malpighiales; Linaceae.